Molecule: small RNA, 125 nt
Filed under: Marmota monax (woodchuck)
Lineage: Eukaryota; Metazoa; Chordata; Mammalia; Rodentia; Sciuridae
Source: RNAcentral
GCUAGGCACAGUGGUGCAUGCCUGUAAUCCCAGUCGCUUGGGAGGCUGAGGCAGGAGAAUCGCAAGUUCAAAGCCCGCCUCAGCAACCAUGAGGCACUAAGCACCUCAAUGAGACCCUGACUCUA